This 765-nucleotide ribosomal RNA is filed under the name uncultured Streptococcus sp. Its description in RNAcentral is "bacterial SSU rRNA". It matches the Rfam family "Bacterial small subunit ribosomal RNA", at positions 28 to 776 of the family's 1533-position model. Lineage: Bacteria; Bacillati; Bacillota; Bacilli; Lactobacillales; Streptococcaceae. The record is from RNAcentral.
GACGAACGCUGGCGGCGUGCCUAAUACAUGCAAGUAGAACGCUGAAGGAAGGAGCUUGCUCUUUCCGGAUGAGUUGCGAACGGGUGAGUAACGCGUAGGUAACCUGCCUGGUAGCGGGGGAUAACUAUUGGAAACGAUAGCUAAUACCGCAUAACAGUAGAUAUCGCAUGAUAGCUGCUUAAAAGGUGCAAUUGCACCACUACCAGAUGGACCUGCGUUGUAUUAGCUAGUUGGUGAGGUAACGGCUCACCAAGGCCACGAUACAUAGCCGACCUGAGAGGGUGAUCGGCCACACUGGGACUGAGACACGGCCCAGACUCCUACGGGAGGCAGCAGUAGGGAAUCUUCGGCAAUGGACGGAAGUCUGACCGAGCAACGCCGCGUGAGUGAAGAAGGUUUUCGGAUCGUAAAGCUCUGUUGUAAGAGAAGAACGAGUGUGAGAGUGGAAAGUUCACACUGUGACGGUAUCUUACCAGAAAGGGACGGCUAACUACGUGCCAGCAGCCGCGGUAAUACGUAGGUCCCGAGCGUUGUCCGGAUUUAUUGGGCGUAAAGCGAGCGCAGGCGGUUAGAUAAGUCUGAAGUUAAAGGCUGUGGCUUAACCAUAGUACGCUUUGGAAACUGUUUAACUUGAGUGCAAGAGGGGAGAGUGGAAUUCCAUGUGUAGCGGUGAAAUGCGUAGAUAUAUGGAGGAACACCGGUGGCGAAAGCGGCUCUCUGGCUUGUAACUGACGCUGAGGCUCGAAAGCGUGGGGAGCAAACAGG